Molecule: unclassified non-coding RNA, 269 nt
Filed under: Cladophialophora sp.
Lineage: Eukaryota; Fungi; Ascomycota; Eurotiomycetes; Chaetothyriales; Herpotrichiellaceae
Description: partial contains 5.8S ribosomal RNA, internal transcribed spacer 2, and large subunit ribosomal RNA
Rfam family: 5.8S ribosomal RNA (bases 1-52)
Source: RNAcentral
AACGCACCUUGCGCUCCUUGGCAUUCCAAGGAGCAUGCCUGUUUGAGUGUCACGUGAAUAUCUCACUCCUCUUAGGGGGAGUGGACUUGGACCGUGCCGUCGACCCAGUCGACGGCUCGUCUCGAAAUGCAUUAGCCUGCAGAGUUUCGCUUGGCCGCUGGUGUGAUAAUUGUCUACGCCGUUGCGCCGGGCGAGCCGCUCUGGGCUCACAAUGACCUAUUCUUUAACGCUCUGGCCUCAAAUCAGGUAGGACUACCCGCUGAACUUAA